UAGACUCUCUAGGACUGUCACUGCAUGAUACACACACUGAGGCACGUUGUUUGAAAUUAACCCUGAGCCUUUCUAGCCAUCCCGAAUAAUUAUAUCCCUCGUUAACCCCAUUUGAGCCUAUAUCCAAUUUUUUUGUUUAAACCCCAUAAAUGUACCCCUUGGCCAAAAACACUUCCUCACCCUGUUCAGAGUCAUGAUAAUAUAUUCAAACUGUGUUGAAAAGCUAAGUUUGGGGUAAAAAACCCCAAAAGCUCCCAAAGCCCAAGAAAGUGCAAGAACAAAAGAAAAAGAAAAAAUUGAUGAAUCGAGAGAGAGAAAGAAAAAUAAAAAGAGAAAAAUGAUAACUCGAAGAUUCAAAAAGAAGCACGGAAAAG
Molecule: long non-coding RNA, 374 nt
Filed under: Lathyrus oleraceus (garden pea)
Lineage: Eukaryota; Viridiplantae; Streptophyta; Magnoliopsida; Fabales; Fabaceae
Description: Pisum sativum (pea) long non-coding RNA (PSAT_LNC024078)
Source: RNAcentral